GACGAACGCUGGCGGCGUGCUUAACACAUGCAAGUCGAACGGUGAAGCCCUUCGGGGUGGAUCAGUGGCGAACGGGUGAGUAACACGUGAGCAACCUGCCCCUGGCUCUGGGACAACCACUGGAAACGGUGGCUAAUACCGGAUACGACCCACCUCGGCAUCGAGUGUGGGUGGAAAGUUUUUCGGCUGGGGAUGGGCUCGCGGCCUAUCAGCUUGUUGGUGAGGUGAAGGCUCACCAAGGCGACGACGGGUAGCCGGCCUGAGAGGGCGACCGGCCACACUGGGACUGAGACACGGCCCAGACUCCUACGGGAGGCAGCAGUGGGGAAUAUUGCACAAUGGGCGAAAGCCUGAUGCAGCGACGCCGCGUGAGGGAUGACGGCCUUCGGGUUGUAAACCUCUUUCAGCUCCGAAGAAGCGAAAGUGACGGUAGGAGCAGAAGAAGCACCGGCUAACUACGUG
Molecule: ribosomal RNA, 462 nt
Filed under: uncultured bacterium
Lineage: Bacteria
Description: partial 16S ribosomal RNA
Rfam family: Bacterial small subunit ribosomal RNA
Source: RNAcentral